UACGUAGGGGGCAAGCGUUGCUCGGAAUUACUGGGCGUAAAGGGAGUGCAGGCGGCCUGUUAAGUCAACGAUGAAAUCCCGAGGCUUAACUUCGGAAUGGUCUUUGAUACUGGCGGGCUUGAGGCUGGUUGAGGAGAGCGGAAUUCCCGGUGGAGCGGUGAAAUGCGUAGAUAUCGGGAGGAACACCAGAGGCGAAGGCGGCUCUCUAAACUAGUCCUGACGCUGAGACUCGAAAGCUAGGGGAGCAAAC
This 250-nucleotide ribosomal RNA is filed under the name uncultured bacterium. Its description in RNAcentral is "partial 16S ribosomal RNA". It matches the Rfam family "Bacterial small subunit ribosomal RNA", at positions 524 to 773 of the family's 1533-position model. The record is from RNAcentral.